This 432-nucleotide ribosomal RNA is filed under the name uncultured bacterium. Its description in RNAcentral is "bacterial SSU rRNA". It matches the Rfam family "Bacterial small subunit ribosomal RNA", at positions 29 to 490 of the family's 1533-position model. The record is from RNAcentral.
AACGAACGCUGGCGGCAGGCCUAACACAUGCAAGUCGAACGCCGUAGCAAUACGGAGUGGCAGACGGGUGAGUAACACGUGGGAACAUACCCUUCGGUUCGGAAUAACUCAGGGAAACGUUAGAGCUAAUACCGGAUACGUCCGCGAGGAGAAAGAUUCAUCGCCGGAGGAUUGGCCCGCGUCUGAUUAGCUUGUUGGUGAGGUAAUGGCCUACCAAGGCGACGAUCAGUAGCGGUCUGAGAGGAUGAUCAGCCACACUGGGACUGAGACACGGCCCAGACUCCUACGGGAGGGCAGCAGUGGGGAAGUCUUGCGCAAUGGUCUAACGACUGACGCAGCGACGCCGCGUGAGGGAUGAAGCUCUUCGGAGUGUAACCUCUGUGCCCGGGACGGAAUAGCGGAUUAUUCCGACUUGACGGUACCGGGUGAGAG